Molecule: ribosomal RNA, 402 nt
Filed under: uncultured bacterium
Lineage: Bacteria
Description: bacterial SSU rRNA
Rfam family: Bacterial small subunit ribosomal RNA
Source: RNAcentral
UGGGGAAUAUUGGACAAUGGGGGAAACCCUGAUCCAGCCAUGCCGCGUGAGUGAUGAAGGCCCUAGGGUUGUAAAGCUCUUUUGUGCGGGAAGAUAAUGACGGUACCGCAAGAAUAAGCCCCGGCUAACUUCGUGCCAGCAGCCGCGGUAAUACGAAGGGGGCUAGCGUUGCUCGGAAUCACUGGGCGUAAAGGGUGCGUAGGCGGAUCUUUAAGUCAGAGGUGAAAGCCUGGAGCUCAACUCCAGAACUGCCUUUGAUACUGGGGAUCUUGAGUUCGGGAGAGGUGAGUGGAACUGCGAGUGUAGAGGUGAAAUUCGUAGAUAUUCGCAAGAACACCAGUGGCGAAGGCGGCUCACUGGCCCGAUACUGACGCUGAGGCACGAAAGCGUGGGGAGCAAACA